CACGGGUCAAAGGCACUCUCCUGUGAAGGUCAGAAUCCUCCUCUGAACUGAGGCUGUGGUUAGAACUCGGCCACGGGUCGAAGGCACUCUCCUGUGAAGGUCAGAAUCCUCCUCUGAACUGAGGUUGUGGUUAGAACUCUGCGACCGACCCUCCUCCUGUGAAGACAUCUCUUCUUUGGAGUAGGGGUUGAGUCGGACUCUUGCAGCCUGGCCUGUUCAGAGUACUCCUGUAGUUAGUAUCUCGACGUAAGGACAUACACACCUGAUAUGGGUCUUGACGGCAGAAGCUGGAUGGCUCGGUUUUUGGGGUGAGAGACAGCAGACGUACAUGUACAAACCUGAUAUGGGCUGGAUGGCUCGGUUGUUGGGGUGAGAGGUAAGAUUCCUCCUCUGGAGUGAGGUUGUGGUUAGGACUCUGCGACAGGUCAAAGGCACUCUCCUCCUGUGAAGCUCAAGCACACCUGUCCAGUAAAUGUUUCUCCAUAGCAACGCCUUCUCAUGGAUCUGACCAAUCAGGUUGCGUAACACCAGGUGGAGGUAGCAGGAGUGUGGCUGCCCAGUUGCCCAGAUUGAGAGCGACAAAUGUCGAGAGAGAAGACUUACCAAUAAGAGAGAGUGAUGUACAGUUUGGAUUCAUUGAGAAUGACGCUAUUUUGAUGUGAGGAACCGAACUGGCAGUAUUCAAACAGUUACAGUCAAGAGAUGACCAUCGAGAGGCCUCUCUUCCAAUCAAACGCUACCAAGGUCACACACAGGAGGUGUGCAGACUCAGAUGCAGACUGCAGACAGUGUGCAGACUGCAGACGGUCAGCUCUUAGCCUCAGGUGGAGAUGAUAACAAGUGAGCUGGAUCUGAAUGUGCGUGCCCUAAGUCUGGUUAUGUCAGGGCUGGUGCUCCAGUCCAAGAUCAAUGUUGUUCACGUCUUUAAAGAGAAGAAGCUUUUCCUUAAAGUGAGCAACACACACCUCACACCACACCACACAUACAUGUAUUCUAUGUGAGGGGUCUUGUACAUGUACGUAUGUAGCAGGGUUGUCCAGUAGUGCCAUCAGGCGUAGUAAGUGCAUCAUAAGGGUCCAACUAAUAUACUAUGGGACCAGCAUGAUCAGCACAUUAUACCAUGUACAUGUAGGUACCCUAGCAUGUACCAG
This is a long non-coding RNA of Halichondria panicea, 1151 nucleotides long. RefSeq lists it as uncharacterized. The record is from RefSeq and is a predicted model, not a curated record. The transcript is spliced from 11 exons. Lineage: Eukaryota; Metazoa; Porifera; Demospongiae; Suberitida; Halichondriidae.